This 268-nucleotide unclassified non-coding RNA is filed under the name Ascomycota sp. Its description in RNAcentral is "partial contains small subunit ribosomal RNA, internal transcribed spacer 1, and 5.8S ribosomal RNA". The stretch from base 1 to 47 matches the Rfam family "Eukaryotic small subunit ribosomal RNA", at positions 1785 to 1831 of the family's 1831-position model. Lineage: Eukaryota; Fungi; Ascomycota. The record is from RNAcentral.
AAAGUCGUAACAAGGUCUCCGUUGGUGAACCAGCGGAGGGAUCAUUACAGAGUUAUCUAACUCCCAAACCCAUGUGAACUUACCAUUGUUGCCUCGGCAGAACCUACCCGGUACCUACCCUGUAACGACCUACCCUGUAGCGAGUUACCCGGGAAGACCUACCCUGUAGUGUGCUGCCGGUGGACUUCUUAACUCUUGUUAUUUUAUAGUAAUCUGAGCGUCUUAUUUUAAUAAGUCAAAACUUUCAACAACGGAUCUCUUGGUUCUG